CUCCUUUUGUGUUCCAUUUCUGCUUGAGAAAUAUGAAUUUCACAGGUUGGUGUUGAAACAGUUUUGCUUGGUUUUAAUAGUAAAUCAAAAUAUUAAGCUACAUUAGCCUUGAUUGUUUUGGAAAAUAUUAUUUACUUAAACUUUAGAAACUUUUCUAUUCAGAAUAUGGCAAUAUUCAAAAGAGGGAGUUCAAAUGACACAACUUCACACAUGUGAUACGGUAAAGCUUAGUAAGUUUUAAAUGGGUCCAUUAAGAUAGUUAAUUGUGCACCUUAAAAAUGAAAACGUAUAAUCAUACCCCAAAAUCAGAGAUAUAGGAAUUAUCUAAGCAUUCGUUUUCAUAGUUAAUAAUAUAUAUUCCUAAUUUUAUGGACUCAGAACUAUGAACUUUUGUAAGCAAAAUAUUUUUAACUCAGCAGAUACAUAAUAGUUCUUUUAUGGGUUAAGUUUCAAAAUAGAAAUCUAAUUAAAUAUGCACAGAUAUUUGAUUUACUAUGGGUAGAAGGCAUGCUUUCAGGAAACAAGUUUUAUAGUAUUCUAAGGGGAGGGAGAAGGGCUAGGUAUGAGUCCAAUCAUAUCAGAGAUAAAAAGGAUGACAUGAAAAUAUA
RNAcentral lists this long non-coding RNA (608 nucleotides) under Bos taurus (domestic cattle). RNAcentral's name for it is "long non-coding RNA NONBTAT014866". The record is from RNAcentral. Lineage: Eukaryota; Metazoa; Chordata; Mammalia; Artiodactyla; Bovidae.